UGAAUCCCUCCCGAGUUCCCAGGGGAAGCGGAGCCGCGGGCCGUCGGCUGCGAUUCCCAGAAAACGCCCAGCCCCCGCGCAGGAGCUCGCUGACACCCCGACUCUGGGAGGCUGCUGUUUCACAACGGAUCAGUCUCAGGUUGUUUCCGGCUUGCUGGGCUUCGGCUCUUUAACGUGGAGUUCUGCGGCUGGGCCGGAGCGAUUUGCAUAUAAAGCGAAGCGAGCCCCGGGCGACGUCUGGAGUCGAGGAGCCGAAGAAAAGGCCAGCGACUGAGUUUUAGUGCUCCUGAGGGGGUCGUGCCCGAGCGUGGCGCUCAGCGGUCUGCCAGGCCGGAGGAGCAAGAGAGUGAAGAGUCAGCAGGAGCUCCGGGCUCUCCAGGAGACAAGCUGCCAGCUCAACACACCCGUUUCCCUGAUGUGCGCGGUCCUGGGGCUGCCUCACUGCACUUCCCAGAUUGCACUGCGGGCUGGCGUGACAUCACAGGCUUUUUGUAGCGGUCGUUGUGCUUCUGGCCGCCCUGUGCGGUGAGGUCGCAUCAGGAGUCAGGCAGGACCGAGGAGGCGCGCUGCCCGAUGUGACUGGGACACCCCGACAGUUCUCGCCGUUCCUGCAGCGUGUCCCUCCCCCGUCACAGGCCAUCAACCACAUGGCUGGGCAGCCUGUUCCACACUC
This is a long non-coding RNA of Lepisosteus oculatus (spotted gar), 673 nucleotides long. RefSeq lists it as uncharacterized. Lineage: Eukaryota; Metazoa; Chordata; Actinopteri; Semionotiformes; Lepisosteidae. The record is from RefSeq and is a predicted model, not a curated record.